RNAcentral lists this ribosomal RNA (631 nucleotides) under Oscheius myriophilus. RNAcentral's name for it is "partial large subunit ribosomal RNA". It matches the Rfam family "Eukaryotic large subunit ribosomal RNA", at positions 345 to 964 of the family's 3401-position model. The record is from RNAcentral. Lineage: Eukaryota; Metazoa; Nematoda; Chromadorea; Rhabditida; Rhabditidae.
CAAGUACCGUGAGGGAAAGUUGCAAAGAACUUUGAAGAGAGAGUUCAAGAGAACGUGAAAUCCUAGCGGUUGAAGCGGAGAGAGUUGACGUAGCUCGGCGGCUAAGCUUACUGUUGUUUUUUCGGAGGCUUCGCUUUGUGGUGUCCGCUUAUAGCUGCGCCGGUAGCGUUGUUCGAGCUUUCUGACCUGGUUAGUGUUGCCCACUUCGGUGGUGUCUUGCUGCCGGCGAGGUCUGCCGUAUUAACGUUUAAUUUGUCUCACGACAAGUACCGGUGUGAAGGUCAGCCACCUUUCCGACCCGUCUUGAAACACGGACCGAGGAGUGUAACUUGUACGCGAGUCAGAGGGUGGAAAACCCUACGGCGCAAUGAAAGUAAAGGUCGGUUAACCGGCUGACAUGGGAUCCGUUCUUCGGAGAGGCGCACCAUGGCCCUGUCUUGAGAGCUUGCUCUUGGGCAGAGGUAGAGCGUACAGGUUGCGACCCGAAAGAUGGUGAACUAUACUUGAGCAGGACGAAGCCAGAGGAAACUCUGGUGGAAGUCCGUAUCGGUUCUGACGUGCAAAUCGAUCGAUAGACUUGAGUAUAGGGGCGAAAGACUAAUCGAACCAUCUAGUAGCUGGUUCCUUCCGA